Molecule: long non-coding RNA, 707 nt
Organism: Bos taurus (domestic cattle)
Lineage: Eukaryota; Metazoa; Chordata; Mammalia; Artiodactyla; Bovidae
Source: Ensembl
GAGGUAGAUAGAAUAUCUCUUUUGGUUAAUUCUCAAGUCACUAGCAUUGUCCAUUAAGAUAAGCCAACUCAAAAUCAGUCAUGAGCUGAGCAGUAAAGUGUCCUUCAUGGAAUAAAGCCUGAAACUUUUGUAUUUGGUAGACAUUUUACACUAGUGAAGUUAAUAUUCUACAACUAUAACUGUAAUAGAGUAACACGAUAAGGACCCAUAAAAUAAGGGAUUGUAGUAUUGAGAACAUCAUUCUUUUUAUGUAGACUAAGAGGAGACUAAAGCUGGAGCUUUGUGCCCAUGGGAGUUCAUUUCACCUCUCUGAGCCUCAGAUCCCUCAGCUAUCAAAGAAGGGGGUUGGGAUUUAGAUCAUUUAAAGCUGAACCUCCCCUGUUUACUGAACCUCACUGGAGUCUAUGACUUUCUGGAGCUAUGGAUACAGCAUGACUCUCCUGAAGGACAAUAUGAAAUAGUGAGAAGGGAUGAUCAGUCCAGUUUGGUGCAGCAGAAGAUCAUCAGUAGAGAGCAGAGACUGGGGACCUCAGCUGAUGGGAUAAACUGACACUGAUGAUAAAGAUGGCCCAUCUCGGGAGAAUAUUUGCAGGGGCACAGGGAGUGUUUGCUGAAGCAAUAAAGAGAAAUAAUAAACGAAACAGCAUGCGGAGCUCAGGAGACAGCAGGCUUGCCGAAUCUACCCAAGACACUUAACCUUUCAGUGC